Molecule: unclassified non-coding RNA, 423 nt
Filed under: Hevea brasiliensis (rubber tree)
Lineage: Eukaryota; Viridiplantae; Streptophyta; Magnoliopsida; Malpighiales; Euphorbiaceae
Source: RNAcentral
CAUCAUUUUGCCAAGCGUGCAAGGAUUUGAUUAGAAAGCGAGUAAGAGUGACUGGUACUUAUGCCGGUCCUUCUCGAUCUCAGAAGUAUAUAUAUCUUUAUCUAUAUAUACAUAUAUAUAUGUUCAUGCUUCCUCUUCAUCAUCUGUAAGGUCAUCGCGGUUUGUAAAAUGCAAUCAGUCUAUUUCAUAAUGUGAAGAACCAGCCAUGCUGUUUGUGGCUGUGCGUGAAUUGAGCUUGGGUUGUAAACAUCUAUGCUCAUUAAGGUGCUGUUUCUUGUUAUAGGAUCAUUGUUGUGUGGUUAUGACACGCUAUACGCUCGUGUAUCUUUUGAUUUUGGUGUGUCAAUAUGUACCAGAAACAGUAUUUGGUAUAUUAAAAAUAGGGUGCUUGCUUUUUGUUCUGUGUUCCACUUUCCCCUUGAG